UACGAAGGGGGCUAGCGUUGUUCGGAAUUACUGGGCGUAAAGCGCACGUAGGCGGACAUUUAAGUCAGGGGUGAAAUCCCGGGGCUCAACCCCGGAACUGCCUUUGAUACUGGGUGUCUGGAGUCCGGAAGAGGUGAGUGGAAUUCCGAGUGUAGAGGUGAAAUUCGUAGAUAUUCGGAAGAACACCAGUGGCGAAGGCGGCUCACUGGACCGGCAUUGACGCUGAGGUGCGAAAGCGUGGGGAGCAAACAGG
Molecule: ribosomal RNA, 253 nt
Filed under: uncultured bacterium
Lineage: Bacteria
Description: partial 16S ribosomal RNA
Rfam family: Bacterial small subunit ribosomal RNA
Source: RNAcentral